GACGAACGCUGGCGGCGUGCCUAAUACAUGCAAGUAGAACGCUGAAGGCGGAGCUUGCUUCUCUGGAUGAGUUGCGAACGGGUGAGUAACGCGUAGGUAACCUGCCUGGUAGCGGGGGAUAACUAUUGGAAACGAUAGCUAAUACCGCAUAAUAGUAGAUGUUGCAUGACAUUUGCUUAAAAGGUGCAAUUGCAUCACUACCAGAUGGACCUGCGUUGCAUUGGGUAGUUGGUGGGGUAACGGCUCACCAAGGCGGCGAUACAUAGCCGACCUGAGAGGGUGAGCAGCCACACUGGGACGGUGACCGGGCCCAUAGGCCUUGAGGAGCCGGCAGUACGGAAACGGCGGGAAUCGGCGGAAGUCAGAGCGAGCUACGCCGCGUGAGUGAGGAAGGAUGUCGGGUCCGAAAGCUCGGUUGUCGGGGUGGAACGAGUGUUCGAGUGGGAAGUUCAGUCAGUGACGGUAACUGAUAAGAAAGGGACGGCUAACUACGUG
This 495-nucleotide ribosomal RNA is filed under the name uncultured bacterium. Its description in RNAcentral is "partial 16S ribosomal RNA". It matches the Rfam family "Bacterial small subunit ribosomal RNA", at positions 28 to 507 of the family's 1533-position model. The record is from RNAcentral.